CUGGUUGUAAAACUCUGUUUUCCAUGUACGAUCGUGUUCCAAAGUCUUGAUCCAUUCAGCAGGCAGCGAGCUCGCGUCAAAGCUUGCAGGUGUGUGCCGUUCCUCAGCAUACGAUUCCCAAACAGAGGAACGCUCUCUCUCCAGAAGAUAAAGUACACCGGCCCCCAUGAGUCAUAGCUGCUGGGAAGCGAAUGAGUAUUUUAUUACCGCUGUUCCAACAUGCACAGCUCAUGUGCAGCUUCAGCCCCAGACACGUCGAGAGCAUGCUGGCAUCCAGCCACCAGCACUGCACAGCUCUACAGCCUGCAAACAUAGCAAUGUUUAAGCGUUACCACCGAUACCAGCCCGGUCUUAUUCUUAGGCUGUGCAAUCCACACUUUGGUGUGUUCUAUGCCCAAAGGGAUUACGGUUGCCCGUGGCUCCUUUUGUGGCUGUAGCUCGAAACCGAGAUCUGUUCAAGAUAAAAAGGCUUUGACAUGAUCAAAGGAGAUGCCAAAACGGCCUCAGCUAAGGCUGAAAAUAUAAGAAUGUCUGCUCUUACAAAUAGCUCUCAAGGGAAAACAAAGGGUGUGUGCUUUUAAAUCGAUGCUGGUUGGUUUGCUCGGAUUUGGCCGGAGAAACACCUGAAUGCAGCCAAGUCAGAUAUGCGACACGAUGGAAAAACCCUAUGCACAAUGUCUGUUCGCAGAAAUGAACUAUUUGGACAUAGUCUAUUAAAAAGUUAUGACGGGUCAUGUGGACAGGAAAAUGAAGAUCAUGAUUGCCUGCUUUUAAAAGAACACCUUUCAAUCCUUAGACAAUAAGCUGGACCAAGAUUACACAAUUUCAACCUUACAACUGAAGUGAGAAGAAGGGAAUUUAGUUAGAUUAAACAAGGAAAGGCGUCUUGCCAGUGAACAGUGAGGCCAAUUAAAAGAAAUUUAAAUUAUGAUCUAUAGUGUUUUUUUUUGUUUUUGUCCAGAACUCCUGAGCACUACUUGUGUAUGGAUGCAUGCAGUCUAUCUAGAAAACAACAAAAACAAAAAAUGGUUAGGACUAUCUUUUAUUUUUUAAUAAAUGUACUCAUGUCAACCAGCGUACUAGAAUUAGAAGAUUCAGAAAUGCCAGAUAUAUUUAAGGCACUUACUGGUUGCUAAUUACAGAGAGGAAAUAUUGGCAAGAAUUAGAUUGCCUUUACAUGGAUAAUGUAUUGCCCUCUUGGCAAAGCUUUAUGUAAUACUGCAAGUUGCAUGUAUAAUUUAAUUCUGUGAUAGAAAACAUUUUAUAUGAUAUACGACUGACCUCGUAUUGCUCUUUUUUCCAUAUCUGAAAUAUAGUAUUAACAUAUUACCAAAUUUAAAGGUCAUUCCUCCCAGAUGACAGCAUGUACGUCCAAAAUUUCAAAUGCUGAAAUUAUCCAAUAUUGUAGCAAACUAGCCUGAAUCCAAGCCCACUUAUAAUUUUUUUUUCUUUUUAAAGCAUGUGGGCAUGUACAUUUGGAUAAAAAUUAGUCUAUAUGGGGGAAGAAAAAAAAAAGAGUGUGAUUUCUGAAAGAACAAAACACAGAAAUGUGAAUCUGGUGCACCAUAUAAAGACUCAGCAGAGCUCAUGCUGCUGUGCAGACGGUCUGGUUCUCUAAUGAAGAUGAUAACAUUACGACAAAUCACUCUUUCCAUGCAGUUUGGCACCAUCGUGUCCUGAUAACUUACCAGGCUAGUGGACAUCCUAAUUACUCGUUUGCAUCUGGGAAGUCUUUUAUUCGAUAACACUUCAUAAACAAUGUCCUAACACAGUGUUUUAAAGCCAUCUGCAUUCUGGGUGUGUAUAUAUAUAUAAUUUUUUAUAACAGCCAUCAAAAUCCGUCGUGGAAGAACUUGUGCAUAAUGUAAUGACUGGUAAAGACACAUGGAAUUUAUAAGCAGUUUCAGGAAAAAGGCUGGUCUUGGGAGGUUUAAAAAAAAAAGUGCCUGAAUAUGAAUUUGAAACUGAUUUCCUCAACAGCAGUGGUUUAAAUCCCAUCUUGGGCCUCUUGCAAUUUUAAUCUUGGAGGUGCUCAGAGCGCAGAAUGGCUCUAACUUGGCAGCAGAAUUCACUUUUUCCUUUAAACAAAGCCCGACAGAGGAAAGCACAACCAAGUUUCAUUUAAAACUGAUUACAGCCAUUCCAAAAAGCAUGCUGAAAUACGAGCUGGAAGUGAAUGUGUUCAGUGUAUGAGAAAAUUGGACUUGGCAAGUCGGUAAACUGUUGAAGAUUCUGUUCUCGAAAAGGCGAACGAGAAAGAGAAAAUACAGACGACAACAUAUCAAACCAUGAGCAAAAUGCUAUUUUGUUGUAUAUUAAAGAACAGGUACGUUUCGGUCAUACUCGAGCUUUCUAAAAACACAGAAAACCUCAUGUUUGCAUUCCUUUCUGUGUUAUGGACCAUGAGCCAUCCACUUUACAGCAGAGGAAUGCACAUCUGGAUACAUCUUCCCAGUGUAUAUAUUUUCUAGCUACUCCUUCAAAAUGCAGCUCCAAUGUGCUCAAAACUAAAAAUAAAAAAUUUUUAAAAAUCAUAAUAAAUAAAUAAAUAAAUAAAUAAGGCUGACAUGAUGACUGAAUCAAGUGCUCAAACAAACUGAAACAAAGACUUGGGUUCUCAAAGAAGCAAAGACUCUUGAGCGCAAGCGGUCCCAACAUAGUCAAAGACAAAAGCUCUUCAAGAGAUUACAGUAUUUUAAACGUUCCGUUCCUGCUGAAGGCCGAAAGUUUCAAAACAAUCCCUCUCUGUGUAAAUCCCACACUAAGAGGUGCAGUAAUUGUAGUGUGGCUAUUGGCACAAGGGCCCUUAUGCAGGUAAAGCAAAGAAAAAUACUGCAGGGGAGAUGUAAACAAAGCUGCUGAUGAGGGCAUGGCUCUGAUUUCAGUCCACAUGCAGACCACACGGCUUCCAGCUUUUUUUUUUUUUUAAUGGAAUCUAACGGGAAAGAAUGGAAUGGAACAGAAUGCCAUGAAACGAACUGGUGGAAUAAAAGAGAACAGAAUAGGUUUAGUGGUUUGCACGUUUCCCUCGCACCUCCAGGGCUGGGGGUUCGAAUUCCGCCUCAGCCCUAUGUGCCGGAACUUUGCAUGUUCUCCCAGUGCUUCGGGGGUUUCCUCCAGGUACUCCGGUUUCCUCUUCCAGUUCAAAGGCAUGUUGGCUUUUCCCAAUUAUCCAGGGUAUGUGAAGUGUGUGAGCUUGUGCCCUGCAAUGGGUUGGCACCCCAUCCAGUGUGCGCCCCACCCCCUCCCCCCCUCGGCCUUGUGCCCAGAGUUCCCUGGGAUAGUAUACAGGCUCCCCGUGAGCCUUUGUAGGAGAAGCGGUAUGGAAAAUGGAUAGAUGAAAAAAGAAUGCCAUGGAACUGAAUGGUGAAAUGGAAUGGAUUGGAAAAAAUAAGCCAAGGAAUGGGACGGAAUGGAAAAGAAUGCCAUGGAACUAACUUGUGGAAUGGAACAGAAUGGAAUGGAAAAACAUGCCAUGGAUUGAAAUGAAAUGGAGUGGAAGGCCAUGGAACUGAAUGGAAAUGUGAAAUGGAAUAGAAUGGAAUGGAAUGGAAUUAAACAGGAUGGGAUGUAAUGGAGUGGAAUUUUAUAGUCUACACUCUUAGAAAGAAGUUCCUCACAGGUUCUUUGGAAGGUAAAUAGUUCUAGCUGUCUAGAAAAUCUUGCUUUGGAAACUUUUCCCAGCCACCCAGGUACACUUUGGCACAUAGCAAUACUUAUCACAUUUAAUUAAUAACUUAUUUUGGGGGGAAAAUCCAAACAAACUAGGCCCAUUUCUAGUUUGGCUGUGACGUGAACGAAACACUGGGUCAAGGUCAGCGUCACAGUCAUGGUCAGAUAAAGGCGGAGGGAAGAUAGAGGACGGUAAAGCAUUCACCAACCCUGAUACUUGGUUGAUGUUAAUUGCAUGGUUGGUUGCUAACUAGUAGAUCGCAUGAAGAAGAAAAGAAAAGAACAUGCAAGAUCUCACAAACACAAGCACCUCUCCAUACAUCACCCCUACUGCAACCUCAGACAAGGCAACAUCCAGAAACCCAUUAGGGUGAUUUGAUUGAACUGUUAUACUAAAACAGUAUUGUUUCUGUGUGGUGACUUAUAAAGAUGAUGCACAUGGAACAUAAAAUCAAUCUGCUAAUUCUUUACUCGUUAUUUAUUAUUAGUAGUAGUAUUGCAUCUGUUUAGUGUAGUAACAUUCUGAAAGUCUGUUCAUUUUACAUUCAUUUCUGUUUUAUCAAAGCAAGCAUGAGUGACUACAUUUUAGAAAUGUAAACAAACCAAUAAACAAAUAAAUACAUAAAUAAAUAUUGUCCUUUAGAUAAUAUUUUCUCUCUUGUCAUUACAGUCAGAUUACAUUUCUAUGAAGAUGAAGGGGCCAUAUGACUGACGGGAAAAACACUGCAUCACUGUAUCAUAUUUCAAUAUUCUCGCACUGGAUAAUUUAAUUUAAUGUAACAAUAUUUGUAACAGUUUAAUAAAUUUACAGUAAGCCAUGAUGCUGUAGAGUUGCAGUUAACCUUAGGGUUUAUUGUUUUGGGGGGGUUAUUUCUAGCUUGAGUGAUGAAUGUAUAACUGUUUCCCAAACAGCAAAAAAAAAAAAACAACAACAACAACAAAACUACAUUCGAGCAUUUGUUUACAAAAGGUGGAGGAAAGGAAAAAGGCAAAUGAAUGACACUGACAAUAAUAAUAAUAAUAAUAAUAAUAAUAAUAAUAAUAAUAGUAAUAAACCCUUUAGUUUUGUAGGUCGGUGUUCAAUAGAGGCAACAGGCUGAGUGUUUGCUCCCUCGCGAGCCCAAACUUUUCCUUCUCACUUUCGCUACCUCUCACCUUCAGUCUGUUUUCUACUUAACCGUGCGUCUGAAUACUGAAAUAAAAUCUUACCUUAUAUGUCUUUUAAUGUCAGACAGGCAUUUUGACACGGUUCCUCUCCAUUGCUGUAGCUGCUUUAAGUAUUUAAACCUUCUUAACAGGACGAGUUUACGCUACGACUUUUCCCUCGUUCGGUCCUAUUGGAAGACAGCGUUGUCAGUGAUGUUUUUUCCCCACCUGUAUUAUGAUAACCCCGCCUCCUGGACUAGGAUUGAUUAAUGGUUUUACAAUCCGGUCGUUACUACGAACUAUUAGCCAAUCCGAGCUAAAGGGGUGGAACAUUAACCAAUCGUAACGAAGGAGGCGGGAUUUGGAGGAAUAUGGGUAGAAAAUAAGGCUGUUCUUUUUCCUGUGGCUGAUAUAGAGGGCAAUUAAAGGGCCAAGUGUUUUGUUUGUUACAUUUUCGUGUAUACUCAGAAAUACUAGCUAUAGCUACUAGAUUAAGUAUAUAA
This is a long non-coding RNA of Ictalurus punctatus (channel catfish), 5321 nucleotides long. The record is from Ensembl. NCBI's taxonomy places the organism in Eukaryota, Metazoa, Chordata, Actinopteri, Siluriformes, Ictaluridae.